GUCAGGAUGAACGCUAGCUACAGGCUUAACACAUGCAAGUCGAGGGGCAGCAUGGUCUUAGCUUGCUAAGGCCGAUGGCGACCGGCGCACGGGUGAGUAACACGUAUCCAACCUGCCGUCUACUCUUGGACAGCCUUCUGAAAGGAAGAUUAAUACAAGAUGGCAUCAUGAGUCCGCAUGUUCACAUGAUUAAAGGUAUUCCGGUAGACGAUGGGGAUGCGUUCCAUUAGAUAGUAGGCGGGGUAACGGCCCACCUAGUCUUCGAUGGAUAGGGGUUCUGAGAGGAAGGUCCCCCACAUUGGAACUGAGACACGGUCCAAACUCCUACGGGAGGCAGCAGUGAGGAAUAUUGGUCAAUGGGCGAGAGCCUGAACCAGCCAAGUAGCGUGAAGGAUGACUGCCCUAUGGGUUGUAAACUUCUUUUAUAAAGGAAUAAAGUCGGGUAUGGAUACCCGUUUGCAUGUACUUUAUGAAUAAGGAUCGGCUAACUCCGUGCCAGCAGCCGCGGUAAUACGGAGGAUCCGAGCGUUAUCCGGAUUUAUUGGGUUUAAAGGGAGCGUAGAUGGAUGUUUAAGUCAGUUGUGAAAGUUUGCGGCUCAACCGUAAAAUUGCAGUUGAUACUGGAUAUCUUGAGUGCAGUUGAGGCAGGCGGAAUUCGUGGUGUAGCGGUGAAAUGCUUAGAUAUCACGAAGAACUCCGAUUGCGAAGGCAGCCUGCUAAGCUGCAACUGACAUUGAGGCUCGAAAGUGUGGGUAUCAAACAGGAU
Molecule: ribosomal RNA, 766 nt
Filed under: Phocaeicola dorei
Lineage: Bacteria; Pseudomonadati; Bacteroidota; Bacteroidia; Bacteroidales; Bacteroidaceae
Description: bacterial SSU rRNA
Rfam family: Bacterial small subunit ribosomal RNA
Source: RNAcentral